This 99-nucleotide signal recognition particle RNA is filed under the name Treponema sp. Its description in RNAcentral is "signal recognition particle sRNA small type". It matches the Rfam family "Bacterial small signal recognition particle RNA". Rfam says of the family: The signal recognition particle (SRP) is a universally conserved ribonucleoprotein involved in the co-translational targeting of proteins to membranes. Archaeal SRP consists of a 7S RNA and homologues of the eukaryotic SRP19 and SRP54 proteins. RNAcentral also lists the same sequence under 2 other names. Lineage: Bacteria; Pseudomonadati; Spirochaetota; Spirochaetia; Treponematales; Treponemataceae. The record is from RNAcentral.
GCUCAGGUACUAUGCAAGAGGUAUCUUUCUAACUCCGUCAGAUUCGGAAGAAAGCAGCGGUCGAUUGUGUAUCUUUGUGCCGUAGACCACCUGAGCUCU